CAUAGGUUAAUGAGGCGAACCGGGGGAACUGAAACAUCUAAGUACCCCGAGGAAAAGAAAUCAACCGAGAUUCCCCCAGUAGCGGCGAGCGAACGGGGAGCAGCCCAGAGCCUGAAUCAGUGUGUGUGUUAGUGGAAGCGUCUGGAAAGGCGCGCGAUACAGGGUGACAGCCCCGUACACAAAAAUGCACAUGCUGUGAGCUCGAUGAGUAGGGCGGGACACGUGGUAUCCUGUCUGAAUAUGGGGGGACCAUCCUCCAAGGCUAAAUACUCCUGACUGACCGAUAGUGAACCAGUACCGUGAGGGAAAGGCGAAAAGAACCCCGGCGAGGGGAGUGAAAAAGAACCUGAAACCGUGUACGUACAAGCAGUGGGAGCACGCUUAGGCGUGUGACUGCGUACCUUUUGUAUAAUGGGUCAGCGACUUAUAUUCUGUAGCAAGGUUAACCGAAUAGGGGAGCCGAAGGGAAACCGAGUCUUAACUGGGCGUUAAGUUGCAGGGUAUAGACCCGAAACCCGGUGAUCUAGCCAUGGGCAGGUUGAAGGUUGGGUAACACUAACUGGAGGACCGAACCGACUAAUGUUGAAAAAUUAGCGGAUGACUUGUGGCUGGGGGUGAAAGGCCAAUCAAACCGGGAGAUAGCUGGUUCUCCCCGAAAGCUAUUUAGGUAGCGCCUCGUGAAUUCAUCUCCGGGGGUAGAGCACUGUUUCGGCAAGGGGGUCAUCCCGACUUACCAACCCGAUGCAAACUGCGAAUACCGGAGAAUGUUAUCACGGGAGACACACGGCGGGUGCUAACGUCCGUCGUGAAGAGGGAAACAACCCAGACCGCCAGCUAAGGUCCCAAAGUCAUGGUUAAGUGGGAAACGAUGUGGGAAGGCCCAGACAGCCAGGAUGUUGGCUUAGAAGCAGCCAUCAUUUAAAGAAAGCGUAAUAGCUCACUGGUCGAGUCGGCCUGCGCGGAAGAUGUAACGGGGCUAAACCAUGCACCGAAGCUGCGGCAGCGACGCUUAUGCGUUGUUGGGUAGGGGAGCGUUCUGUAAGCCUGCGAAGGUGUGCUGUGAGGCAUGCUGGAGGUAUCAGAAGUGCGAAUGCUGACAUAAGUAACGAUAAAGCGGGUGAAAAGCCCGCUCGCCGGAAGACCAAGGGUUCCUGUCCAACGUUAAUCGG
RNAcentral lists this ribosomal RNA (1169 nucleotides) under Escherichia coli. RNAcentral describes it as "partial 23S ribosomal RNA". It matches the Rfam family "Bacterial large subunit ribosomal RNA", at positions 165 to 1372 of the family's 2925-position model. The record is from RNAcentral. Lineage: Bacteria; Pseudomonadati; Pseudomonadota; Gammaproteobacteria; Enterobacterales; Enterobacteriaceae.